Molecule: ribosomal RNA, 122 nt
Filed under: Escherichia coli
Lineage: Bacteria; Pseudomonadati; Pseudomonadota; Gammaproteobacteria; Enterobacterales; Enterobacteriaceae
Source: RNAcentral
UUGCCUGGCGGCAGUAGCGCGGUGGUCCCACCUGACCCCAUGCCGAACUCAGAAGUGAAACGCCGUAGCGCCGAUGGUAGUGUGGGGUCUCCUCAUGCGAGAGUAGGGAACUGCCAGGCAUC